GAGCCUGGCAGGCACAACCCGGGAGCAGCAGGGAGAGGUGGGUUUGUCGUGGAGGAUCCAGGAGCUCGGUGUGCGUGUCUGAGCCUGCAGUUCCAAGGUGCAGCAGGACCCAAGGUCUGCACACACCCAUGUACAGCACUUGUAAACAGCGUUAACGUGAAGAUAACGCGUGCGGGGAGUGUGCCGUGGGUUACCACAAGCGAUGAAGGAUUUUGGGACGGUGCCAAGGCAGUUUCCCCCUCAGCGCACUGGUUUUUUUUCCGGAAGAAUUACGCGAGAGCGGAAAAGUUGCAAUGGCAUCGCAGUUCCCUGCUCAGAAAAUGCCCAGGGAGUAAAGCACGGCCAAGUGGUGCCAUUCAACUGCGCCACAGCUGGGAGCAUCAGGUAAGUGACGAGGACUGAGCCGCAUCCCCCCUUAGCAAACACAACAGUAAUGUCAAGCAGGAUCACCCUUUUCCAGACCACUGGCAUGUGCUUGGGGACAAAAAGCUGUGUUUUUCACAGCCGGGUCUUCUGAGCCACAGCACCCCCUGCUCUGGGGUGGCCACUGCUCACUGAUCACAGUGAGAACAAACUUGUGUACAGGCGCUCUGCAAAAUUCCCACCUUAGAUGCCACUGAAGCGCAGCUUUGGCUUUCAGGCAUCUCCCCUGCAAGCUGUCCCUUGUGUCGUUUCCGCAGGGGAUUCGUUGUUAAUUAAUUACUUCACUUUUUUUAUUUUAAUUUCCAAAGAAUAGAAGUUGACUUUUACAGCUUCUUCAGUGCUCCCCAAGCUUUAUACCACACCUAAAUGCUCGUCUUCGCUGCCUGAAGGUCUUUUCUGACCUGAACAAUUCUAUGACUUUGG
Molecule: long non-coding RNA, 846 nt
Filed under: Serinus canaria (Common canary)
Lineage: Eukaryota; Metazoa; Chordata; Aves; Passeriformes; Fringillidae
Description: lncRNA (ENSSCAG00000012254.1)
Source: RNAcentral